GAUGAACGCUGGCGGCGUGCCUAAUACAUGCAAGUCGAGCGAACAGACGAGGAGCUUGCUCCUCUGACGUUAGCGGCGGACGGGUGAGUAACACGUGGAUAACCUACCUAUAAGACUGGGAUAACUUCGGGAAACCGGAGCUAAUACCGGAUAAUAUAUUGAACCGCAUGGUUCAAUAGUGAAAGACGGUUUUGCUGUCACUUAUAGAUGGAUCCGCGCCGCAUUAGCUAGUUGGUAAGGUAACGGCUUACCAAGGCAACGAUGCGUAGCCGACCUGAGAGGGUGAUCGGGCACACUGGAACUGAGACACGGUCCAGACUCCUACGGGAGGCAGCAGUAGGGAAUCUUCCGCAAUGGGCGAAAGCCUGACGGAGCAACGCCGCGUGAGUGAUGAAGGUCUUCGGAUCGGAAAACUCUGUUAUUAGGGAAGAACAAAUGUGUAAGUAACUAUGCACGUCUUGACGGUACCUAAUCAGAAAGCCACGGCUAACUACGUG
Molecule: ribosomal RNA, 497 nt
Filed under: uncultured bacterium
Lineage: Bacteria
Description: partial 16S ribosomal RNA
Rfam family: Bacterial small subunit ribosomal RNA
Source: RNAcentral